GACGAACGCUGGCGGCGUGCUUAACACAUGCCAGUCGAACGGAAAGGCCUCUUUCGGGGGGUACUCGAGUGGCGAACGGGUGAGUAACACGUGAGUAACCUGCCCUUGACUUUGGGAUAACUUCAGGAAACUGGGGCUAAUACCGGAUAGGAGCUCCUGCUGCAUGGUGGGGGUUGGAAAGUUUCGGCGGUUGGGGAUGGACUCGCGGCUUAUCAGCUUGUUGGUGGGGUAGUGGCUUACCAAGGCUUUGACGGGUAGCCGGCCUGAGAGGGUGACCGGCCACAGUGGGACUGAGAUACGGCCCAGACUCCUACGGGAGGCAGCAGUGGGGAAUAUUGCACAAUGGGUGGAAGCCUGAUGCAGCAACGCCGUGUGCGGGAUGACGGCCUUCGGGUUGUAAACCGCUUUCGCUCAUGACGAAGCUUUGUGUGACGGUAGUGGGUAAAGAAGCACCGGCUAACUACGUG
Molecule: ribosomal RNA, 467 nt
Filed under: uncultured bacterium
Lineage: Bacteria
Description: partial 16S ribosomal RNA
Rfam family: Bacterial small subunit ribosomal RNA
Source: RNAcentral